GAGUUUGAUCCUGGCUCAGGACGAACGCUGGCGGCGUGCCUAACACAUGCAAGUCGAACGGAGAUACGCGCUGAAUGGAUGGAGCUUGCUUUUGAAAUUCUUGUGUAUCUUAGUGGCGGACGGGUGAGUAACGCGUGAGCAACCUGCCUUUCAGAGGGGGAUAACGUUUGGAAACGAACGCUAAUACCGCAUGAGACCACAGUACUGCAUAGUACAGUGGCCAAAGGAGCAAUCCGCUGAAAGAUGGGCUCGCGUCCGAUUAGAUAGUUGGCGGGGUAACGGCCCACCAAGUCGACGAUCGGUAGCCGGACUGAGAGGUUGAACGGCCACAUUGGGACUGAGACACGGCCCAGACUCCUACGGGAGGCAGCAGUGAGGGAUAUUGGUCAAUGGGGGAAACCCUGAACCAGCAACGCCGCGUGAGGGAAGACGGUUUUCGGAUUGUAAACCUCUGUCCUCUGUGAAGAUAAUGACGGUAGCAGAGGAGGAAGCUCCGGCUAACUACGUGCCAGCAGCCG
RNAcentral lists this ribosomal RNA (518 nucleotides) under uncultured bacterium. RNAcentral describes it as "bacterial SSU rRNA". It matches the Rfam family "Bacterial small subunit ribosomal RNA", at positions 9 to 517 of the family's 1533-position model. The record is from RNAcentral.